UAUGAUUAAUCUCAUAGCGUUUAUAACUGAAUACAUAGGUUAUAUAACGGGAACCUAGGGAACUGAAACAUCUUAGUACCUAGAGGAAUAGAAAACGAAUGUGAUUCUGUAAGUAGCGGCGAGCGAAAGCGGAACAGGCCAAACCGGUCUACGGGCCGGGGUUGUAGGACUCUUGUUAGAGUUACAAAAUCAGUGUAUAGCAGAAUGUGCUGGGAAGCACAAGCGUAGAGGGUGAUACUCCCGUAUGCGAAAUGCACUGAUCUCGAUAGAGUAUCCUGAGUACGGCGGGGCACGUGAAACCUUGUCGGAAUCUACCCAGACCACUGGGUAAGCCUAAAUACUACCAUUUUACCGAUAGUGAACCAGUACCGUGAGGGAAAGGUGAAAAGUACCCCGUGAGGGGAGUGAAAUAGUCCCUGAAACCAUAUGCUUACAAGAAGUUAGAGCCCGUUAAUGGGUGAUAACGUGCUUUUUGUAGAAAGAGCCGGCGAGUUACGAUAACAUGCGAGGUUAAGUAGAAUAUACGGAGCCGUAGUGAAAGCGAGCCUUAAUAGGGCGUUUAGUAUGUUGUCGUAGACACGAAACCAGGUGAUCUAGCCAUGAGCAGGUUGAAGUUAGGGUAAAACCUAAUGGAGGACCGAACCAACGUUCGUUGAAAAGACCGUGGAUGACUUGUGGCUAGGGGUGAAAUUCCAAUCGAACCUGGAGAUAGCUAGUUCUCCCCGAUAUAGCUUUAAGGCUAGCGUCGAGGUUUAGGAUUAUGGAGGUAGAGCUCUGAAUGUAUGAUGGCCCCACCUAGGGGUACUGAUUACAAUUAAACUGCGAAUGCCAUAAUUUCAUACUCGGCAGUCAGAACAUGGGUGAUAAGGUCCAUGCUCGUGAGGGAAACAGCCCAGAUCUACAACUAAGGUCCCUAAAUAUACGCUAAGUGUGUAAGGAUGUGAAGGUGCACAGACAGCUAGGAUGUUGGCUCAGAAGCAGCCAUCAUUUAAAGAGUGCGUAACAGCUCACUAGUCGAGUGCCUUUGCGCCGAAAAUGUACCGGGGCUUAAGCGUAUUACCGAAGUUUAGGAUUUACAGCAAUGUAAGUGGUAGGGGAGCGUUCUAAGUGCGAUGAAGUCAGACUGUGAGGACUGGUGGAGCGCUUAGAAGUGAUUAUGCCGGCAUGAGUAACGUUUGGAGGUGAGAAUCCUCCAUGCCGUUUGACCAAGGAUUCCUGGGCAAGGUUCGUCCACCCAGGGUUAGUCAGGACCUAAGGCGAGGCCGAAAGGCGUAGUCGAUGGACAACAGGUUGAUAUUCCUGUACCACCAAGUAAA
Molecule: ribosomal RNA, 1316 nt
Filed under: Spiroplasma sp. GSU5490
Lineage: Bacteria; Bacillati; Mycoplasmatota; Mollicutes; Entomoplasmatales; Spiroplasmataceae
Description: bacterial LSU rRNA
Rfam family: Bacterial large subunit ribosomal RNA
Source: RNAcentral